UCCAAGGCCACAGGGCCCAGCCCCUGCCCCCCAGCCUACGGCUGAUCCCUGACCUUGGGAUCCUCUUUCUGUUUUCCCAGUGGCCUUCGCAGACCCCUCGUGGAUGGCGGGGUGCCUGAGGGCUGCCCCUCGGAGGGGCCAUCUUCUGCCAUGUCCAGAUUCAAGUGAAUGUGGGAUUGGGACCCGGCAGCUGGUUGGUGACAGUCAGGUGGAGCGAAUGUCAGCCAAGCCCAUGUCAGGACCUUGGCGGGUGUGUAACACCUGGUAGAGGCUCGAUAAAUGUGACAUCUCACCGCUCAUCCCACCAUCCUGUAACUGUCGGUUUACUUUCUCGCCCGUGGUCGCGUCCUCAUUGUCCUGCACCAGCUCGAGCCAGGAGAUGCCCGGGGAGCGGACAGUGGGGUCCAGGCCCCUGGGACCGGCCCUCUGCUCAGGUUGUUGGGGACAGUCUCUAGGCAACAAGCUCCGGCCUCCCCCGCCCCGUUUCUCGUCUGGUCUCAUCCCACCCCGUCGGGGCUCUGGACGGAGAGUGAGAAAGGCUGUGUAACCCACCCCAGAGCAGAAAGCUCUCCAGCGUCCCUGGGGCUCACCCCUUCCCAAGACCCUGCCCCUCUCCUUCCUUGGUCAGGUCCCCAAAACGCCCCUGUGGGAAGGUUCAUGGGCGGAUGUCAUGCUGGGGCCAGGGCCCUCCUGUGGCCCAGAAGACUCACUUGGCAGAGGCCAAGUCACCGGGAAGUGAUUAACGGAGCCAGCUCUGGCCGGGUCUGUUGCUGGAACUUUCCAAGCUCCCAGAUACACUGGCUCGGGGUCCCAGCUUGCUCCAAAUGCUCAGGAUUUCGGUAAAGAAAACCAAGGGCCUGCAAAUUCCUCUCCGAGCAGGGAGGUGAGUGGCAAAGGGGACACUGGGGUGAAUGUUCUCCCACCUGCCAGGGCAGUUAGACCCCCCCAAAGCUGGAUGGCAUCCAAGGGAUGGGAGCAUGGGCCGGGAGCAUGCUGGGGUUUUUCUCAUGCGUGCUUCGUGUCACUGUCCUGGCUGGUUUUCUUGGGUGUUUUUGAAGCUGCAGGCAUUUGUGGAGUGGGCUUCCCGCAGGCCGGGGUCACAGGGCAGCUCUCCCCCACCUUGGACUGCUGCCCAGCACCUCCUCUGGGCAGCAGCUCUUGUCGUGGGAGCCAGGCCCUGGGCAGAGCUCAGCCCCCUGUGAGAGUGUGCUGAGAGGGAGGACAGGCGCGGAGAGCCUACCGCGUGCUCGUCUGAGAGCUUUGCAUGCGGCUUUAUCCCGCUCCAUUCACCCUGGGCUCACUUCCAGCCCCUCCAUGGUUCUCUCUGCAAAAUGGGCACAAUAAUCGAACCAGGGAGCCGAGGCUCAGGGGGGCGACUGGCUGGCCAGGCUGAACGGCUGGACAGUGGCAUGGCAGGACCUGAGCCAGGCAGGGGGCCGCAGAGCUUGUGUGCCUCCCCACUCCGCUCCCCAGCCACCGAUGCCAGCCCUGCCCCUCCUGGUGACGCUGCCAUGCGCUCCCCUGGGCAUGUCAUGGGGUGUCACCUAAAAGGGUGAAGACUUUGGGGGCCUGCCCUUUUUGCCUGGGGGGCAGGAAGCAGUAGGGUGGUUCUGUGUGGUUGUUGGGCACCCAUGCUCUGGUGUUUGGAGACCUGGCUGCAAGUCCUACCCCUCUGUGCACCUCAGGCUGGCUCUCAACCUCCCUGAACCUCAGAGCCCAGCGGUACAAUGGGGACAGCGUGCUCAUCAUGCACAACCCCUCAUUUUUAUCGUCCUCGUUCCUGAUGCGAUUUCCCUAGACACUCUCCCAGGGUCCAGGUUAAUAUCCAGGGUUCAAACCCACAAAGAACAUUGGACCAGGGCUCGGGAGGCCAAGCAUGAACCCCACUCUGUCACAUACUACCACGGUCUCAGUUUACCCAUCCAUAACCGGGGCUGAUGCAGCCUGCACCUGUCACCACAUCCCAUAGUUAGGGGAAGGCCUGGGUGUCGGGGCUGGCCUGGGCUUGCAGGUCUGCUGGGAAAACCCACGGGCUACUACCUGGAAGAGGCUUGGAAUAUGCUGCACACUCAGGAAGCUUUACGACCACCCCAACGCCUGCAGGCGCUAUGCUUGGCUGGAAACACGGUCCUCCCAACCUCUGAGGCCUCUCCAGGACCCAGUGGGGUCCACAGAGCAAGUCGGAGUCACUAGGGUGCUGACUUAGACAAACGAGGGCUGGGUUGCCCACACCAGGAGCUAAGGAGUCUGGUUUUAUCACUGAGGUGACUGAGAGGACUUUCUGGGAGUACCAAAGCCCUUGAGGACUUGGAAAGGGACUUGUUGGCUGUUGGCCCUGUCAGACAGAAAUACUCCAUUUGGAUGGGAGAAGAACCCACGGGGUGGACAGUUCACUCCGCUCUGCCUAAGAUUCACCAUCGCAGAGCAGGAGGAAAGCCCUCAGCUGCUCCUGAGAACUCCCUGCUCAAGGGCAGGCUGGGAGUGCCGAGCCAGCCCUGUGUGGCGCUGGCAAGUCCCCUCCCCUCUCUGGACCCCUGGGACCACAGAUGAGAGUUGGUAAGCUGUCCCCACCAGAGGGUGUGCUCCAGCAGACAGGGUCGUGUCUGUCGGGUUCAGUGCCAUCCAGAACUGUACCUGCCCACGGCCCCCCACAAAGACGUGCCCAGGUCUUUGAAGAUGGUGUUAUUCGCUAAGGCGUGGACACCCUUGUGAACAGGAUCUCUGAAGAUCCUAUUUAGAUGGGGGACAUUGAAUCGGGGAGGCCUUCAGCCACACGACCGCAUCCUUGUAAGCAGAGGAAAUCCAGAUGCUGCAGUCAGGAGUAGCCAGAAGUCAGAGAAAGCCACAGCAGGGGACCAAGGUGGUGGCCGCCAUGUGACAAGGGCAGCAAUGUGAGCCAAGGAAACCCGAGGAUUGUGGGGGGGCCAGCACCAAUGCGCUGCAGACUCUGGGCGGGGGGCAUCACCUGGAGACCCUGAUGUUGGCCCUCCAGCCUCCAAAACUGUGAGAUAAUCAAUUCCAGUUCUUCAAGUCAGCCUGCUGUGCGGCAUUUGUCAUAGCAGCCCUGGCAGACUAAGUGCGCGAUUAGACGUGUGUUGGACCUGACUCAAUGCAAUCAAGGCCCAUUCCAGGGAUAAGCAGCCACUUCCAUUCUCUACCUGCCAAGGAAACAUGCUCUUGUGUUACCUUUUGGACCUGAACAGCUUCCCCAACCCAUCCCCGUGCACCAAGGUGAUCUCGGGGCCACCUUUCCCGCCAGUGGCUGGUCAUUCCCACCCCUUUCCUUUGUGCAUAUGGCUCUUCUCCCUUCAAGCCCUCUCCCAAAGCUUUUCCAUUCUUCAUGACACUGCACUUACAUUCCAAAUGUCUGCAGGCCCUAAAUAGCCCCCUUUCCUUGUAUGGACAUCCCUGUGAUGUCAUGAAGAUUGUUUUCCUGGGAGUCUGAAUUCUGCACACAAACAAUGGAAUUUUUUUUAAUGCUUUUUAAAAAUGAUCACCCACUUUUUAAAUCAGUUGCUGAUGUCAGGAUGAUUCAGUUCUCAGACGUUUGUGAUGAGCCUCUUGUGCCUCCCGAGUCCUGCCAGGCUGGGUCCAUGCUUGAUGGACAACCAUUGCUUUAAAGCUUUGAAAUGCAAUGCAAGCCACAGCUAUUGCUAUGUGCCGGAGUGAUUUCUUUUCCCUGAGCACUGGGCAUCUUGGAGUUGGGAGGUUGGGGCCAGAAUCCUUCUGCAGCAGGGGGGUGACACGGGCCACCCUGGCCUGGCCCUCCCUGCUGGGUCCCUGGCAGAGCAGCUCAUGUGUGCUGUUUCCAGCUCCCUUCACAGGCCACGGGGCAGGACUUUGGAGUGAGCUCUGCACCCUCACCCCCAUCCCACGUCAGAGCAGGCCUCUUUGCCCUCUCCCCCGGCCCCUCUGGCUCCCACCUCUGCCUGCCUCCCUACGUCUGCUCCAUUUGGCUCUGACGUCAGAGGUGGCAGCCGUGUCCCAGAGCCAGCCUUGCUUUGGGAAGGUGCGAGGCCGGGAGAGGGGACACCAGCCAGAGGUGGUGGGGCGACAGCUGCCUUGGAUGCCUCCCAGCCUGAUGUCUGAACAGGGUCCCCACUCCCACCCUGCCUGAUAGCUCCAGCCCUCCUUCUCCGCUCUGCUCAUGGCACCUCCUUCUACUCACUUGCUGAGGACAAAAAUCCAGGGGUCGCCUUUGUUUCCUCUUUCCCUCACUUCCAAACUCCUGUCCAUCUCCGGCUAUUGGCUCGACCUCCAAAUGUGACCCCAUCUUUCCACCCCACCACCAUAACCUGGGCCCACAAUGUCAGCCUGUCUCCCCCAAAACCCCUCCUCCCUGGGGUGGAGGCCCACUCUGCCAGCUCCAGUCCAUCCUGUAUGCAGCAACCAGAGGGAACCUGUGACAGCAAGAAUUCGCCAACUCGAGUGAGCGUCAGAGCCUCCUGGAGGGGAUGCUGGGCCCACCCCUAGUGGUUCUGACCUUGCAGCCAGUUCCAGGAGCCACUGAUCCCACUGGGCAGGGAAGCCCCUGGAGGACCACAGCUCUACACUAAGCCCUGUGCCAACUCCAAGCCAAAAUCAGAAUCAAAUGUAAACUAUGCCACAGAGCAGGGUAUGAAAAGCACAGACCCAGAAGCCAGACCUUCUGAGAUCAAGUCCUGCCUCUGCCACUUACUGUGUGUCCUUGAGCAAAUGACUUAACUUCUCUGUGCCUCGGUUUUCUUUCCUUAUCUGUAAAAUGGGAGCAACAAUGGCAGCUUCUUUCAAGGGUAGUUGUAAGGAUUAAAUGAGCUAAUUCAUGUGCCUUGGUUUGGGUUCCCUGAGAAGCACACACUGAGACACAGGUGCGAGUGACCC
Long non-coding RNA from Choloepus didactylus (southern two-toed sloth), 4860 nucleotides. RefSeq lists it as uncharacterized. The transcript has 4 exons. The record is from RefSeq and is a predicted model, not a curated record. NCBI's taxonomy places the organism in Eukaryota, Metazoa, Chordata, Mammalia, Pilosa, Megalonychidae.